RNAcentral lists this ribosomal RNA (195 nucleotides) under uncultured bacterium. RNAcentral describes it as "partial 16S ribosomal RNA". It matches the Rfam family "Bacterial small subunit ribosomal RNA", at positions 328 to 539 of the family's 1533-position model. The record is from RNAcentral.
ACGCUCGACACCUACGGGAGCAGCAGUGGGGAAUAUUGCACAAUGGGGAAACCCUGAUGCAGCGACGCCGCGUGGAGGAAGAAGGUCUUCGGAUUGUAAACUCCUGUUGUUGGGGAAAAAGAGGAUGGUACCCAACAAGGAAGUGACGGCUAACUACGUGCCACAGCCGCGGUAAUCUGAGCGGGCUGGCAAGGC